This 253-nucleotide ribosomal RNA is filed under the name uncultured bacterium. RNAcentral's name for it is "partial 16S ribosomal RNA". It matches the Rfam family "Bacterial small subunit ribosomal RNA", at positions 524 to 776 of the family's 1533-position model. The record is from RNAcentral.
UACGUAGGUGGCAAGCGUUGUCCGGAUUUACUGGGUGUAAAGGGCGUGUAGGCGGGAAGACAGGUCAGAAGUGAAAUGCCGGGGCUCAACCCCGGAGCUGCUUUUGAAACCGUUUUUCUUGAGUAUCGGAGAGGCAGGCGGAAUUCCUAGUGUAGCGGUGAAAUGCGUAGAUAUUAGGAAGAACACCAGUGGCGAAGGCGGCCUGCUGGACGACAACUGACGCUGAGGCGCGAAAGCGUGGGGAGCAAACAGG